GCUCAGAACCAGUAUUCGUUCAACUAUGCCAUCCUUCCCUCGAUCAGACUGAGGUCCCAUCCCAACUCUGAGGGGACAGUUACGAGAAAACUUGGCUGCCCUGCCUCAUCUGGAAAUCAUCGUUGGAUAAGCAUCUCUCUGGGGAUAAAACGUCAGUGUGUCCAGAAUCUGUGCCUUCAUUGAUGUGAACAUUCCCCCCAUUUCUACAAAUGGCCUUUGACACCCCUGGAGAAUUGUUGUGGCCAAAAAACUCAUCUUUCUGUGGACAGCUCUGGAGUGGGCUAGACUGAAGAUCAAAUCACAGAAUUCCAUCUCUCCCUGACCUAGAACAUUUCUGUGAGAAGGGACUCACAAAACCUCAGAUUCGAAGUUGGUUUAAGCCUCCUUGGCCUCCACGUCAAGACCAAGCCUGGGGAAAAACUCCAAUAUGAGAACUUUAGCCCCUCCCAAGGCAGCCUGUUCCAUUUUUGCAUAGCUCAACUUGUUGGCAAAGCUUGUAGACAUUGAACCUAAGUUUUCCUCUUGGGAAGUUCUUUCAUUCCUUCCCCACUCUGGGACCAAAGAGAACCAGUUGAAUCCCUCCUCCACAUGGCAGCCUUUCAAUUGCUAUGACAUCUCCCCCACUCACCCCAGGCUUCUCUUCUCUUCUCUAGCCCCCCACACCUCCCAGAGGGCUUCCGAUGCUAUGGUCUUGAGGCCAUUCGUCAUUCUGGUCACCACACUCUUGACAUGCUCUGGUUGUCCACUUCCUUCCUAAAGAGAGACGUUUGUUCAGGAGCGGGUGAAAGAGUCUUCGUGGAAUGAAACUUGGGCUUUGUUCCCGAAGCCUGAAGGCUGGAGCACCGAGUUCGGGGUUCUCACGGGCUGCUUUUGAACAAAGAACAGGAGGUUCGACACCCUGUGCCUUUGGAAGGUGGGAGGGGAACCAACAAAGUGUCACCACCAGGUAUUCUGGGUCGUGUAAGAAUGAUAAGGCAACAAUAAUAAUAUUACCUUCAGCUUCCGUCGGGAGACGCGCACAAACCAGCCCUCCCAGAAUCCUUUAUCAAGUGCCUGUUUCGAGGGGGCCAGACAGGUGGGAACACGAAAGCACCGAGCAUAGGGGCUCCAGGAGACCACGUGCCCACCUGCUCCAUCUCCGGAUGCUCUGAGCAGCGCUCCAAGGCUUUACGAUGGCGGGAGGGGGGGCGGGGAGGAGGGGGACGGGAGGGGGGCGUUUUCUCACGCGAGAUCCCUCCUCCUAAGGAAGCCCCAGAAACCCAGGGCUGAGCUCAAAGGGUUAAAUGUAACCCCUCUGUAAAGGGCUGCUUUGUAAGUGGGAGGGAUUAUGAUGGCGUCCAAAUGAGCAGAAUUUCACUAGAGAAGACUUUGUUUCACUAUAGGGUACUGUCGGGGACCCACAGGUUCCCUGGGAUGCUCUGAAUGUAGGUUGGCAAAUGAAGCAAAGCCUUGUUCUGCGGGCUGACUGCCCCCCUGCCCGCACGCUGCCCCCUCCUGCAGACUUGCAUCGCACGGGACUGGCACGCGGACCUUCUAGUUUUUUGUUUGAUUGCAAAGAUUGGUAGACACUUUGAUGACUGCCAGUCCUUAUGCAUCCUGGGAGCUUAGAGAAAACAAUCAUCGUAAUAGUGUGUGAUCCGGAUAAAGCAUUUUACAGUUUGCAAAGUGCUCUACAAGGAUUUGCUCUCUAGAAUAACCCUCUGAGGCAGGUACUAUAAACUGGUUCCCCACUUUAUAGAUGAAGAAACGGGUGUUGGGAAAGGGUAGGAGACUUGUCCAAGGUAACUCGAUUCUUAGAAGUCAGGGGUGAGAUUUGGAUCUCAGUUCCCUCUCCUAUAAAAUGAGCCAGAGAACAAAAUGGCAAAUCACUCCAGCCUCUUUGCCAAGAAAACCCCGAAUGGAGUAAGGAAGAGUCAGGCAGUCUCAAACCACUGAGUACCAAAUAAUUAUACAGCACUGCAAGGAGUACAAAGCACCUGACCUGCGUGAUCUCAUUUGGUACUCACAAUAGGCUGUAAAGCAGGCACUCUUAUUACCCCUAUUUUGUAGUUGAGGAAACUGCAACAGAUAGAGGUGAAGGGACAGCUGAGGCAGAUUUGAACCCAGUCUUUCUGACUCCAGGUCCUAAGCUGCCACUUGGUGGGCUAGAAA
Molecule: long non-coding RNA, 2151 nt
Organism: Monodelphis domestica (gray short-tailed opossum)
Lineage: Eukaryota; Metazoa; Chordata; Mammalia; Didelphimorphia; Didelphidae
Source: Ensembl